RNAcentral lists this ribosomal RNA (862 nucleotides) under bacterium. Its description in RNAcentral is "bacterial SSU rRNA". It matches the Rfam family "Bacterial small subunit ribosomal RNA", at positions 29 to 873 of the family's 1533-position model. The record is from RNAcentral.
ACGAACGCUGGCGGCGUGCCUAAUACAUGCAAGUCGAGCGGACAGAUGGGAGCUUGCUCCCUGAUGUUAGCGGCGGACGGGUGAGUAACACGUGGGUAACCUGCCUGUAAGACUGGGAUAACUCCGGGAAACCGGGGCUAAUACCGGAUGGUUGUUUGAACCGCAUGGUUCAAACAUAAAAGGUGGCUUCGGCUACCACUUACAGAUGGACCCGCGGCGCAUUAGCUAGUUGGUGAGGUAACGGCUCACCAAGGCGACGAUGCGUAGCCGACCUGAGAGGGUGAUCGGCCACACUGGGACUGAGACACGGCCCAGACUCCUACGGGAGGCAGCAGUAGGGAAUCUUCCGCAAUGGACGAAAGUCUGACGGAGCAACGCCGCGUGAGUGAUGAAGGUUUUCGGAUCGUAAAGCUCUGUUGUUAGGGAAGAACAAGUACCGUUCGAAUAGGGCGGUACCUUGACGGUACCUAACCAGAAAGCCACGGCUAACUACGUGCCAGCAGCCGCGGUAAUACGUAGGUGGCAAGCGUUGUCCGGAAUUAUUGGGCGUAAAGGGCUCGCAGGCGGUUUCUUAAGUCUGAUGUGAAAGCCCCCGGCUCAACCGGGGAGGGUCAUUGGAAACUGGGGAACUUGAGUGCAGAAGAGGAGAGUGGAAUUCCACGUGUAGCGGUGAAAUGCGUAGAGAUGUGGAGGAACACCAGUGGCGAAGGCGACUCUCUGGUCUGUAACUGACGCUGAGGAGCGAAAGCGUGGGGAGCGAACAGGAUUAGAUACCCUGGUAGUCCACGCCGUAAACGAUGAGUGCUAAGUGUUAGGGGGUUUCCGCCCCUUAGUGCUGCAGCUAACGCAUAAGCACUCCGCC